Propithecus coquereli (Coquerel's sifaka) is the source of this 1045-nucleotide RNA transcript. It is a transcript of the gene named solute carrier family 35 member F5 pseudogene, with no coding region annotated. The transcript has a single exon. NCBI's taxonomy places the organism in Eukaryota, Metazoa, Chordata, Mammalia, Primates, Indriidae. The record is from RefSeq and is a predicted model, not a curated record.
CAGCGCCCAUCGCUGUCUGAGCGGUCCCUUCCCUUCGCCCGCUCCCCGCCCCCCUGGGCCGAGUGGAGUUGGGUAGUGUCGGUGGCCUCACCCUAAGGGGCACGGCAGCUUCAGGAGCUGGGCUUUCAGCGCGGCGCGAUGUCAGGCGCCGUGAUGGGUCUGUCAGUCCGAGGCCGCGGCCGUGGCGCUGGGCGGCUGCGGGGCCUGGCCGGGUCCGCUCAUGGUGCCGCCACGACGCCAUCGCGGGGCAGGAAGGCCAGGUGUGCUGAGUUCUUCACCUCCUUUUAGACUGGGAUCUGCCAAGUUUUCAGGCAUUGCUCUUGAAGAUCUCAGAAAGGCCUUUAAAACAAGACUGCAAAUGGUGUGUGUAUUUAUCAUGAACCGAAUGAAUUCCCAGAACAGUGGUUUCACUCAGCGCAGGCGAAUGGCCCUUGGGAUUGUUAUUCUCCUUCUUGUUGAUGUGAUAUGGGUUGCCUCCUCAGAACUUACUUCGUAUGUUUUUACUCAGUACAACAAACCAUUCUUCAGCACCUUUGCAAAAACAUCUAUGUUCAUUCUGUACCUUUUGGGCUUUAUUAUUUGGAAGCCAUGGAGGCAACAGUGCACAAGAGGAUUUCGAGGAAAGCAUGCUGCUUUUUUGCAGAUGCUGAAGGUUACUUUGCUGCUUGCACAACAGAUACAACUAUGAAUAGUUCUUUGAGUGAACCUCUGUAUGUUCCUGUGAAAUUUCAUGAUCUUCCAAGUGAAAAACCUGAGAGCACAAACAUCGGUACUGAAAAAACUCCCAAAAAGUCUCGUGUAAGUUUCAGUAAUAUCAUGGAGAUUCGACAGCUUCCAUCAAGCCAUGCGUUGGAAGCGAAGUUGUCUCGCAUGUCACAUCCUACUGUGAAAGAACAAGAAUCCAUACUGAAAACUGUGGGGAAACUGACUGCAACUCAAGUAGCAAAAAUUAGCUUUUUUUUUUGCUUUGUGGUAGGUCUUUUCUUUAUAAUAUUUUGGAAUUUGAAUUUUAAGACAGUAAAUAUACCAAUAAUAUAGUAUUGAA